Molecule: transfer RNA, 67 nt
Filed under: Anopheles dirus
Lineage: Eukaryota; Metazoa; Arthropoda; Insecta; Diptera; Culicidae
Also listed under: 2 other names
Description: tRNA-Tyr
Rfam family: tRNA
About the family: Transfer RNA (tRNA) molecules are approximately 80 nucleotides in length.
Source: RNAcentral
GAUUAAAUGGCUGAAGUUUUAGGCAAUAAAUUGUAAAUUUAUUUAUGGGAAUUAUUCUCUUUAAUCA